This 293-nucleotide ribosomal RNA is filed under the name uncultured bacterium. RNAcentral describes it as "partial 16S ribosomal RNA". It matches the Rfam family "Archaeal small subunit ribosomal RNA", at positions 455 to 747 of the family's 1478-position model. The record is from RNAcentral.
GUGCCAGCCGCCGCGGUAAUACCGGCAGCCCGAGUGAUGGCCGAUCUUAUUGGGCCUAAAGCGUCCGUAGCUGGCUGCGCGAGUCCGUCGGGAAAUCCACUCGCCCAACGAGUGGGCGUCCGACGGAAACUGCACAGCUUGGGACCGGAAGGCUCGAAGGGUACGUUCGGGGUAGGAGUGAAAUCCCAUAAUCCCGCACGGACCACCGAUGGCGAAAGCACUUCGAGAGGACGGACCCGACGGUGAGGAACGAAAGCCAGGGUCUCGAACCGGAUUAGAAACCCUUGUAGUCC